UGGGGAAUAUUGGACAAUGGGCGAAAGCCUGAUCCAGCCAUGCCGCGUGUGUGAAGAAGGUCUUCGGAUUGUAAAGCACUUUAAGUUGGGAGGAAGGGCAGUAAGCGAAUACCUUGCUGUUUUGACGUUACCGACAGAAUAAGCACCGGCUAACUCUGUGCCAGCAGCCGCGGUAAUACAGAGGGUGCAAGCGUUAAUCGGAAUUAAUGGGCGUAAAGCACGCGUAGGUGGGUCGUUAAGUUGAAUGUGAAAGCCCCGGGCUCAACCUGGGAGCUGCAUCCUAAACGGGCGAGUUAGAGUAGGGCAGAGGGUGGUUGAAGUUCCUGUGGAGGGGUGAAAUGCGUAGAUAAAAGAAGGAACACCAGUGGCGAAGGCGACCGCCUGAGCUCAUACUGACUCUGAGGUGCGAAAGCGUGGGGAGCAAACAGG
RNAcentral lists this ribosomal RNA (429 nucleotides) under Pseudomonadota bacterium. RNAcentral's name for it is "Proteobacteria bacterium partial 16S ribosomal RNA". It matches the Rfam family "Bacterial small subunit ribosomal RNA", at positions 355 to 776 of the family's 1533-position model. The record is from RNAcentral. Lineage: Bacteria; Pseudomonadati; Pseudomonadota.